UGCAGAAUCCCGUGAAUCAUCGAGUCUUUGAACGCAAGUUGCGCCUGAGGCCAUUUGGCCGAGGGCACAUCUGCCUGGGCGUCACGC
RNAcentral lists this ribosomal RNA (87 nucleotides) under Nuphar lutea. Its description in RNAcentral is "partial 5.8S ribosomal RNA". It matches the Rfam family "5.8S ribosomal RNA", at positions 73 to 154 of the family's 154-position model. From Rfam's summary of the family: 5.8S ribosomal RNA (5.8S rRNA) is a component of the large subunit of the eukaryotic ribosome. It is transcribed by RNA polymerase I as part of the 45S precursor that also contains 18S and 28S rRNA. Functionally, it is thought that 5.8S rRNA may be involved in ribosome translocation. The record is from RNAcentral. Lineage: Eukaryota; Viridiplantae; Streptophyta; Magnoliopsida; Nymphaeales; Nymphaeaceae.